This 69-nucleotide transfer RNA is filed under the name Camelus dromedarius (Arabian camel). It matches the Rfam family "tRNA". From Rfam's summary of the family: Transfer RNA (tRNA) molecules are approximately 80 nucleotides in length. Their secondary structure includes four short double-helical elements and three loops (D, anti-codon, and T loops). The record is from Rfam by way of RNAcentral. RNAcentral also lists the same sequence under 1 other name. Lineage: Eukaryota; Metazoa; Chordata; Mammalia; Artiodactyla; Camelidae.
GUAAUAGCUCAGUGGUAGAGUGUGUGCUUAGCAUGCAUGGAGUCCUGGGUUCAAUCCCCAGUACUUAUA